RNAcentral lists this ribosomal RNA (498 nucleotides) under uncultured bacterium. RNAcentral's name for it is "partial 16S ribosomal RNA". It matches the Rfam family "Bacterial small subunit ribosomal RNA", at positions 28 to 507 of the family's 1533-position model. The record is from RNAcentral.
GACGAACGCUGGCGGCGUGCCUAAUACAUGCGAGUCGAACGAGAGCGACCGGUGCUUGCACUGGUCAAUCUAGUGGCGAACGGGUGAGUAACACGUGGGUAACCUGCCCAUCAGAGGGGGUUACCAUCGGGAACCGGAGCCUAAAACCCCUAAGUCCUUCAAGCCCCUGGGUUUAAGGGGAAAAAAGGCCGCAGGCUUUUCCGGAUGGUGGGACCCGCGGUGCAUUAGCUAGUGGGGGAGGUAAGGGCCCACCAAGCCCGUGAUGCAUAGCGGACCUGAGAGGGUGAUCGGCCACAUUGGGACUGAGACACGGCCCAAACUCCUACGGGAGGCAGCAGUAGGGAAUCUUCCGCAAUGGACGCAAGUCUGACGGAGCAACGCCGCGUGAGUGAAGAAGGUUUUCGGAUCGUAAAACUCUGUUGUUAGAGAAGAACAAGUGCUAGAGUAACUGUUAGCGCCUUGACGGUAUCUAACCAGAAAGCCACGGCUAACUACGUG